UACAGAGGGUGCGAGCGUUAAUCGGAAUUACUGGGCGUAAAGCGCACGUAGGCGGCUUGGUAUGUCGGGUGUGAAAUCCCCGGGCUCAACCUGGGAACUGCAUCCGAAACUGCCUUGCUCGAGUAUGGGAGAGGGAAGUGGAAUUUCCGGUGUAGCGGUGAAAUGCGUAGAUAUCGGAAGGAACAUCAGUGGCGAAGGCGACUUCCUGGACCGACACUGACGCUGAGGCGCGAAAGCUAGGGGAGCAAACGGG
RNAcentral lists this ribosomal RNA (253 nucleotides) under uncultured bacterium. RNAcentral describes it as "partial 16S ribosomal RNA". It matches the Rfam family "Bacterial small subunit ribosomal RNA", at positions 524 to 776 of the family's 1533-position model. The record is from RNAcentral.